Molecule: ribosomal RNA, 534 nt
Filed under: uncultured bacterium
Lineage: Bacteria
Description: partial 16S ribosomal RNA
Source: RNAcentral
GGAGUUAGCCGGUGCUUCUUCUGCGAGUAACGUCACAGAUGUAAGGUAUUAACUUACACCCUUUCCUCCUCGCUGAAAGUGCUUUACAACCCGAAGGCCUUCUUCACACACGCGGCAUGGCUGCAUCAGGGUUUCCCCCAUUGUGCAAUAUUCCCCACUGCUGCCUCCCGUAGGAGUCUGGGCCGUGUCUCAGUCCCAGUGUGGCUGAUCAUCCUCUCAGACCAGCUAGGGAUCGUCGCCUAGGUGAGCCUUUACCUCACCUACUAGCUAAUCCCACCUGGGCUUAUCCAUCAGCGCAAGGCCCGAAGGUCCCCUGCUUUCCCCCGUAGGGCGUAUGCGGUAUUAGCAGUCGUUUCCAACUGUUAUCCCCCACAAAUGGGCAAAUUCCCAGGCAUUACUCACCCGUCCGCCGCUCGUCAUCUUCAAAAGCAAGCUUUUGAAAUGUUACCGCUCGACUUGCAUGUGUUAGGCCUGCCGCCAGCGUUCAAUCUGAGCCAGUANACACACUCGANAGAGCGGCGGUCGCGACGACGC